CAAAAAAUAAGGUAACCUUCUGUGACCAACUUCUUAAACUCUGCUACAGAGUUUGGUGGUGCUGUAUUCUUCAAAUUUGAUUGAAAAACUCAAAGAGCCACCUCAGCAGUCUGGAGAGCUCAGCUAAGUUAUCCCUCAGCUUGGUGACACUGAGAAGACCAAAAAGUACUGCCCUGCAGGGAGGAAAAACAGGAGGCUUCCAGCUGCUUCGGCUACAGUCAAGACCUAGCUGAUGAUCUCAAGGGCUCGAACUGUGUGUUUGUCACUGCACAUUGGGAACAUCCCCGUUUGUUCUGAGCUCUGUGAUCUGCUUCUGCAGUUUUCUAGUUUGCUCUGCCUGUGCUCCACUCUUCCUGCUCUGGUUUCACAGCUGCCAGAAAACCCUCAUCACAAAACAGAAUAAAUGCGUGAAACCUC
This is a long non-coding RNA of Lepidothrix coronata (blue-crowned manakin), 417 nucleotides long. RefSeq lists it as uncharacterized. The record is from RefSeq and is a predicted model, not a curated record. NCBI's taxonomy places the organism in Eukaryota, Metazoa, Chordata, Aves, Passeriformes, Pipridae. The transcript is spliced from 2 exons.